Molecule: ribosomal RNA, 459 nt
Filed under: uncultured bacterium
Lineage: Bacteria
Description: partial 16S ribosomal RNA
Rfam family: Bacterial small subunit ribosomal RNA
Source: RNAcentral
CCUACGGGAGGCAGCAGUGAGGAAUAUUGGUCAAUGGACGAGAGUCUGAACCAGCCAAGUAGCGUGAAGGAUGACUGCCCUAUGGGUUGUAAACUUCUUUUAUAUGGGAAUAAAACGUUCCACGUGUGGGAUUUUGUAUGUACCAUAUGAAUAAGGAUCGGCUAACUCCGUGCCAGCAGCCGCGGUAAUACGGAGGAUUCGAGCGUUAUCCGGAUUUAUUGGGUUUAAAGGGAGCGUAGGUGGAUUGUUAAGUCAGUUGUGAAAGUUUGCGGCUCAACCGUAAAAUUGCAGUUGAAACUGGCAGUCUUGAGUACAGUAGAGGUGGGCGGAAUUCGUGGUGUAGCGGUGAAAUGCUUAGAUAUCACGAAGAACUCCGAUUGCGAAGGCAGUUCACUGGACUGCAACUGACACUGAGGCUCGAAAGUGUGGGUAUCAAACAGGAUUAGAUACCCCUGUAGU